RNAcentral lists this ribosomal RNA (118 nucleotides) under Pteropus alecto (black flying fox). Lineage: Eukaryota; Metazoa; Chordata; Mammalia; Chiroptera; Pteropodidae. The record is from RNAcentral.
GUCUAUGGCCAUGCUACCCUGAACAAGCCCGAUCCCAUCUGAUCUCGGAGCUAAGCAGGGUUGGGUCUAGUAAGUACUUGGAUGGGAGACCACCUAAAAAGACCAGGUGCUGUAGGCA